GCGCAUGUAGUCUAGCCUGGUAGGAUCUGAGCUUCCCAAGCUCGAGGCCCGGGUUCAAAUCCCGGCGUGCGCAC
RNAcentral lists this transfer RNA (74 nucleotides) under Candidatus Gugararchaeum adminiculabundum. RNAcentral describes it as "tRNA-Gly(ccc)". It matches the Rfam family "tRNA". Rfam says of the family: Transfer RNA (tRNA) molecules are approximately 80 nucleotides in length. Their secondary structure includes four short double-helical elements and three loops (D, anti-codon, and T loops). The record is from RNAcentral. Lineage: Archaea; Nanobdellati; Microcaldota; Candidatus Micrarchaeia; Candidatus Gugararchaeales; Candidatus Gugararchaeaceae.